AUUGAACGCUGGCGGCAUGCCUUACACAUGCAAGUCGAAUGGUAACAGGUCUUCGGAUGCUGACGAGUGGCGAACGGGUGAGUAAUACAUCGGAACGUGCCCGAUCGUGGGGGAUAACGAAGCGAAAGCUUUGCUAAUACCGCAUACGAUCUACGGAUGAAAGCAGGGGACCGCAAGGCCUUGCGCGAACGGAGCGGCCGAUGGCAGAUUAGGUAGUUGGUGGGAUAAAAGCUUACCUAGCCGACGAUCUGUAGCUGGUCUGAGAGGACGACCAGCCACACUGGGACUGAGACACGGCCCAGACUCCUACGGGAGGCAGCAGUGGGGAAUUUUGGACAAUGGGCGAAAGCCUGAUCCAGUCAUGCCGCGUGCAGGAUGAAGGCCUUCGGGUUGUAAACUGCUUUUGUACGGAACGAAAAGACUCUGGUUAAUACCUGGGGUCCAUGACGGUACCGUAAGAAUAAGCACCGGCUAACUACGUG
Molecule: ribosomal RNA, 482 nt
Filed under: uncultured bacterium
Lineage: Bacteria
Description: partial 16S ribosomal RNA
Rfam family: Bacterial small subunit ribosomal RNA
Source: RNAcentral